AGUGAACGCUGGCGGUAGGCCUAACACAUGCAAGUCGAACGGCAGCACAGUAAGAGCUUGCUCUUACGGGUGGCGAGUGGCGGACGGGCGAGGAAUACAUCGGAAUCUACUUUUUCGUGGGGGAUAACGCAGGGAAAAUUACGCUAAUACCGCAUACGACCUACGGGUGAAAGCAGGGGAUCUUCGGACCUUGCGCGAGUGAAUGAGCCGAUGUCGUAUUAGCUAGGUGGCGGGGUAAAGGCCCACCAAGGCGACGAUCCGUAGCUGGUCGGAGAGGCUGAUAGGCGGCACGGGAGGUGAGACACGGACCAGGCUCCUACGAGAGGGAGCAGUGUGGAAUGUUGGGCAGUGGGCGGAAGCAUGGUCCAGCCAUACCACGUGGGAUAAGAAAGCGUUCGGGUUGUAAAGCCCGUUUGUUGGGAGAGAAAAGCAGCAGGUUAAUACCCCGCUGUUCUGACGGUACCCAAAGAAUAAGCACCGGCUAACUUCGUG
Molecule: ribosomal RNA, 492 nt
Filed under: uncultured bacterium
Lineage: Bacteria
Description: partial 16S ribosomal RNA
Rfam family: Bacterial small subunit ribosomal RNA
Source: RNAcentral